AAUACCUAGCGGCAGACGGGUGAGUAACAUGUGGGAAUCUGCCUUUUGGUUCGGAACAACACGGGGAAACCUGUGCUAAUACCGGAUACCUUCUUUUGGCCGCAUGGUCAGCUGAAGAAAGAUUUAUCGGUUUGGGAGGGUCUCGCGGCCUAUCAGCUAGUUGGCGGGGUAACGGCCCACCAAGGCAUCGACGGGUAGCUGGUCUGAGAGGACGAUCAGCCACACUGGGACUGAGACACGGCCCAGACUCC
Molecule: ribosomal RNA, 251 nt
Filed under: uncultured bacterium
Lineage: Bacteria
Description: partial 16S ribosomal RNA
Rfam family: Bacterial small subunit ribosomal RNA
Source: RNAcentral